UACGUAGGUGGCGAGCGUUAUCCGGAUUUAUUGGGUUUAAAGGGUGCGUAGGCGGGCAUUUAAGCCGGCGGUCAAAUGUCCGGGCUCAACCCGGGCCGGCCGUUGAAACUGGGGAUCUUGAGUGCUGGAGAGGCAAUCGGAAUUCCGUGUGUAGCGGUGAAAUGCGUAGAUAUACGGAGGAACACCAGUGGCGAAGGCGGAUUGCUGGACAGUAACUGACGCUGAGGCGCGAAAGCGUGGGGAGCAAACAGG
This 252-nucleotide ribosomal RNA is filed under the name uncultured Oscillospira sp. RNAcentral's name for it is "partial 16S ribosomal RNA". It matches the Rfam family "Bacterial small subunit ribosomal RNA", at positions 524 to 776 of the family's 1533-position model. Lineage: Bacteria; Bacillati; Bacillota; Clostridia; Eubacteriales; Oscillospiraceae. The record is from RNAcentral.